AGCAGCCGCGGUAAUUCCAGCUCCAAUAGCGUAUAUUAAAGUCGUUGCAGUUAAAAGCUCGUAGUUGAAUUUCGGGGUUAGUAGGUUGGUCAUGCCUCUGGUAUGUACUGGUCUCACUGAUUCCUCCUUCCUGAUGAGCCGUAAUGCCAUUAAUUUGGUGUUGCGGGGAAUUUGGACUGUUACUUUGAAAAAAUUAGAGUGUUUAAAGCAAGCUAACGCUUGAAUACAUUAGCAUGGAAUAAUGAAAUAGGACGUUUGAUUCUAUUUUGUUGGUUUCUAGGAUCGACGUAAUGAUUAAUAGGGAUAGUUGGGGGCAUUAGUAUUCAAUUGUCAGAGGUGAAAUUCUUGGAUUUAUUGAAGACUAACUACUGCGAAAGCAUUUGCCAAGGAUGUUUUCAUUAAUCAAGAACGAAAGUUAGGGGAUCGAAGACGAUCAGAUACCGUCGUAGUCUUAACCAUAAACUAUGCCGACUAGGGAUCGGAUGAUGUUAAUUUUUUCAAUGACUCAUUCGGCGCCUUA
This 520-nucleotide ribosomal RNA is filed under the name uncultured Glomus. RNAcentral describes it as "SSU rRNA". It matches the Rfam family "Eukaryotic small subunit ribosomal RNA", at positions 569 to 1090 of the family's 1831-position model. The record is from RNAcentral. Lineage: Eukaryota; Fungi; Glomeromycota; Glomeromycetes; Glomerales; Glomeraceae.